This 101-nucleotide microRNA precursor is filed under the name Microcebus murinus (gray mouse lemur). Its description in RNAcentral is "miRNA (ENSMICG00000029124.2)". The record is from RNAcentral. Lineage: Eukaryota; Metazoa; Chordata; Mammalia; Primates; Cheirogaleidae.
CAGGGUAGCUUCCUGUAUGGCUUACUACGUUCGGUGUUGCCGGCCCCUCGCUCCUGGUGCAGGCUGAAGAAAUGCAAACAAAGUACAGCAUUAGCCUGAGC